This 253-nucleotide ribosomal RNA is filed under the name uncultured bacterium. RNAcentral describes it as "partial 16S ribosomal RNA". It matches the Rfam family "Bacterial small subunit ribosomal RNA", at positions 524 to 776 of the family's 1533-position model. The record is from RNAcentral.
UACGUAGGGUGCGAGCGUUAAUCGGAAUUACUGUGCGUAAAGCGUGCGCAGGCGGCUUUGCAAGACAGAUGUGAAAUCCCCGGGCUCAACCUGGGAACUGCAUUUGUGACUGCAAGGCUAGAGUACGGCAGAGGGGGAUGGAAUUCCGCGUGUAGCAGUGAAAUGCGUAGAUAUGCGGAGGAACACCAAUGGCGAAGGCAAUCCCCUGGGCCUGUACUGACGCUCAUGCACGAAAGCGUGGGGAGCAAACAGG